UCGACGGCAGCACGGGAGCAAUCCUGGUGGCGAGUGGCGAACGGGUGAGUAAUGUAUCGGAACGUACCUUUCAGUGGGGGAUAACGUAGCGAAAGUUACGCUAAUACCGCAUAUUCUGUGAGCAGGAAAGCAGGGGAUCGCAAGACCUUGCGCUGAUUGAGCGGCCGAUAUCAGAUUAGCUAGUUGGUGAGGUAAAGGCUCACCAAGGCGACGAUCUGUAGCGGGUCUGAGAGGAUGAUCCGCCACACUGGAACUGAGACACGGUCCAGACUCCUACGGGAGGCAGCAGUGGGGAAUUUUGGACAAUGGGCGCAAGCCUGAUCCAGCCAUGCCGCGUGAGUGAAGAAGGCCUUCGGGUUGUAAAGCUCUUUCAGCCGGGAAGAAAACGCAUGGGUUAAUACCCUGUGUGGAUGACGGUACCGGAAUAAGAAGCACCGGCUAACUACGUGCCAGCAGCCGCGGUAAUACGUAGGGUGCGAGCGUUAAUCGGAAUUACUGGGCGUAAAGCGUGCGCAGGCGGUUUGUUAAGAUAGGCGUGAAAUCCCCGGGCUCAACCUGGGAACUGCGUUUAUGACUGGCAGGCUAGAGUAUGGCAGAGGGGGGUGGAAUUCCACGUGUAGCAGUGAAAUGCGUAGAGAUGUGGAGGAACACCGAUGGCGAAGGCAGCCCCCUGGGCCAAUACUGACGCUCAUGCACGAAAGCGUGGGUAGCAAACAGGAUUAGAUACCCUGGUAGUCCACGCCCUAAACGAUGUCAACUA
This 760-nucleotide ribosomal RNA is filed under the name uncultured bacterium. RNAcentral's name for it is "bacterial SSU rRNA". It matches the Rfam family "Bacterial small subunit ribosomal RNA", at positions 62 to 818 of the family's 1533-position model. The record is from RNAcentral.